This is a non-coding RNA of Vicia faba (fava bean), 285 nucleotides long. The record is from the annotation of a GenBank genome assembly. Lineage: Eukaryota; Viridiplantae; Streptophyta; Magnoliopsida; Fabales; Fabaceae.
AUGAAAAAACAGAAUAGUAAUGUAAAAAUCAGCAAAAGAAAAUUGUUCUAUUUUUCUCCAUCUCCAACCAUCAUCAUCACCAUAAACUCUCAUCAAUCUAUACUUUUUUUCUUCUUUAUUUAUCUUCAUCUUCCCAUCACCAUCAUCUUCCAAUAUCACAUUAUAACUCAUGGCUUCCUCCCCGAUUCAAUACAACUUCCGAACCUGCUUCAUCACAAACUACAACACUUAUGUUACUACUCUUAUUCGUAUUCUUAUUCACUAUCACAAGUUUAUUUUUUAUAA